CUUGCUCCCCCCCCGCUCGGCCGGGGCGCCAGCUGGCCCUCGCCUCGCCCACUUCGGUCAGGCAAAUGAGCAAUGGGCUGGCAGAGGAGGAGGAGAAGGGGACUGGAUCUGAAGGAAGGAGCAGGACGGGGAGGCCAAUAUGGCUCCAUGAGGGGCACGUUCCUAACCUGAAAAUCAAACAGGAAUCCUACAAACAGUGGAAAUAGGGACCGUUUGCUAAGGGGAUGUGCCAAUGAAUAGCACAAGCCUAUAGGGACAAAAUCAGAAAGGCGAAGGCAUGAAAUGAGUUAUGCCUAGCACGGGACAUAAGAUGAUGAGAUUGCAAGUGAGAGCGAAGAGGAUGGCAGUCCUCAGCCAGAAGGGCCUGAGAAAGUGGAGCCUCAUGGGACGUUCUCAAGAAGAUCCAAAUCGAAUGUUUCCCAGAAUCAGCAGAGCUCAGAAAAGCAGCCGCAAAAGCCUGCAGGGAAGAGACGGGCCCAAUUGAAUUGUAUGGACCCACAAUAUCAUAGAAAAGGCCUGGAAAAGUACCUGCUUCACUUCUGACCAAAGCUCUGCUGGAAUGAACUUCAGACCAAAGUCCUUGUGGAGCAAGUAAAUCCAACUCUUUCCUCUGAAGUCAGCUGAUCUGCAACUUCUUGAGGAUUGUCUUUGCUGCAGAGAUAGCUCUUCCCGGGUGUUGCCCCUAAUCUCAUCUCCCACACAAUCCUCUCACACAAGUUAAUUGUGCUUUCUGUCCCAGCUAGCUGGCCUGGCUACAGCUGCAGGUUGGAGCCUGGGUACUACUUUCACUUGGACUGGUAACCCGCCCAUUUGCAAUGAAGGUGCAGGCUAAAUCACUCGAGCGCUGAUAGUCUUCCAAUGCCUUCCCAUAAUUCCACUGUGUGCCCUGAAGGACUGACCAGUUCUCCCACAGUUCGCUAGGAAAAAAUCAGAGUGGCUGAUCUUACUGCAGCACCAAAAAACCAUGGGAUGGACUUCUAGAAGUCCUAGCAAUACAUGUGGGGGAGCGAAGCACCAAUAAGGACACUGUAAUGUGGGUGUGGAUUUAUAGGGUGGUCACUCAUGCCUGGCUGCUCAUGACCCAAGCUAACUGUGCAGUGAAGACAUACUCUAAGGAUUUUUUUGAGCUGUGUCUUAAACCAGUGGUUCUCAACCUUUCCAGACUACUGUACCCCUGAAUGAGACCCGCCGCACAGGGCUAAAGCCCGAACCCUGCUGCCCAGGGCUGAAGCGUGUAACUUAGGUUCAGGUGGCCCCAGGCAACUGCCCUGCUUGCCAUCCCCUAAUGCCAGCUCUGCACUUGCAACCCCCUUAAACCCGUCCCACGACCCCCGUGGGGGUUUCAGCCCACAAGUUGAGAAACACGGAUCUAGAUCAGUUGACGUACCCCCUGAAAGACCUCUGCGUACCCCAGGGAUACACGUCUGGUUAAGAACCACUGUGUUAAACCAUCUACAUUUGAAAAUGCCGAGUCACCAGCUGGGAGACGGUUCUGAAUGCAAGAAAAGCUUCAGUCUUGACUCAACACUUGACUGCCACCAGGGAACCAUAAAUGGGCUGCAAACUGUCUCCCUCUUCCUGGCAAGAACUCCCACAGUUUGCUGAACUCCCUGUAUGAUGAUUAGCUACCGGCUUAGGACUGGCUUAAAAUGAUGAUACUUUAUCUUCUACAAAAAUAUCAGCGUUGAGCGAGCGGCUAGAAAAUGAAAAUUAGGUGGUCCUGCAGUUAUCAGAAAAGCUGGGAUGGAACUGAAAGAGAUGCUUGAACAGGAGCCAGUGUUAAAGUUCUACGUAAGUGGAAGGCCUAUGAAAAUCUUAAUAGGUGCCUCACAAUUUGAUUUCGGGGAAGUCAUUUUGCAGUCGUGGGAAGCAAGUUGACAGUUUACAGUUUAUGCAUUCAGGUCACAGAGGUGCAGAAACUAGAUGCACAAAUUCAAACAGACCUGUUAGGGAUAUUGCUUAAGUGCUAAGAGAAAUUUUGACCGGCGAACAAAGGCUGAAACACAUCCAGAUCUCUGAUACCAUAUUACCUGUUCUAUAAGGAUGCAAAGUAUGACGAUAAAGCUACAGAUGUGAGAGAAAGCUGUGUCGUAGUAAUGAAGUGUUGCCGGCUGCUGCCCUAUCCAUACUUGCUGCGUUAGAGAAAGGAGCCGAGGAAGCGAGAGUUGGAGAUAAAACCUUGGUGAUCCCUUCUCACAGCAAGUGAAAGGCCACAAAGAGGGAAAACGCUGAAUGAAACAAUUAUGAAAGGACGACCAAAGGUAAUGCACAGCAGUCAGCAAGGGACUAUGGAGGUUACAGAUAUAAAUGUACAGCAGUGAAUGGCAUGAUUGUUCAUAGACAUAAAACUAUUAUACUCCCGUGAAUGCUACAGGGAGGCUAUUUGGGAAUCGUACGUCAAAGAAAUAAACCCAGAGGCUUCUCACAUGUGAACAAGCUAUUUGUUCUACUUGAGAUACAAUCUACAGACCCAUGAUUCCCUGUCUGAUACUACAGAGACUAUCAAAUGGUCAGAGAUGGGCCAAACCAGGGUAUUCCAGUGCAGGGUUUGGAAGUUUUGCGGAGGUUUGAAUCUGGAUCUGAACUGCUUGACUCGGGCCCGGCUAUACCAACGGACAUUACAGAUUCUCAUGUGGCAAAGAACAAGUGAAGUUUGUUACUGAUCAUUGCUCUUUGCACCCUGAAAUGUGAACAUUUGAAAGUAUCUUUGUAAGACAUGGAAUUCCAGAUAAAGACCCAGAUUUUUAAAGGUAUUUAGGCAGUGUUCCGUUCAGCAUUGCAAGGCCUAAGGCCCAGAUUUUAAGGGUAGUUAGGGUGUCUAACUCCCAGUGGAAGUUAAGCACCUAACUACCUUAAAAAAUCUGGGCUUAAGUGACUUAGCCCUGGUCUACACUAGGGGUGGGAUCGAUCUAAGUUACGCAACUUCAGCUACAUGAAUAACGUAGCUGAAGUCGACAUACUUAGAUCGACUUACCGUGGUGUCUUCACCGCGGUGAGUCGACUGCUGCUGCUCCCCCGUUGACCCCGCCUGCGCUUCUCGCAGCGCAGAGAGAGCACUCGGGGGUCGAUUUAUCGCGUCUAGACUAGACACAAU
Chrysemys picta bellii (western painted turtle) is the source of this 3094-nucleotide non-coding RNA. NCBI's taxonomy places the organism in Eukaryota, Metazoa, Chordata, Testudines, Emydidae. The record is from RefSeq and is a predicted model, not a curated record.